This 253-nucleotide ribosomal RNA is filed under the name uncultured bacterium. Its description in RNAcentral is "partial 16S ribosomal RNA". It matches the Rfam family "Bacterial small subunit ribosomal RNA", at positions 524 to 776 of the family's 1533-position model. The record is from RNAcentral.
GACGUAGGGGGCCAGCGUUGUUCGGAAUUACUGGGUGUAAAGGGUUCGUAGGCGGUGCGGCAAGUUGGGAGUGAAAUCUCUGGGCUUAACCCAGAGGCUGCUUCCGAAACUGCUGUGCUUGAGUGUGGGAGAGGCGCGUGGAAUUGCAGGUGUAGCGGUGAAAUGCUUAGAGAUCGUCCAGAACACCGAUAGCGAAGGCAGCUUACUAAGGAGUAACUGACGCUGAGGCACGAAAGUGUGGGGAUCAAACAGG